This 64-nucleotide transfer RNA is filed under the name Eupelmus sp. ZJUH_2016012. Its description in RNAcentral is "tRNA-Lys". Lineage: Eukaryota; Metazoa; Arthropoda; Insecta; Hymenoptera; Eupelmidae. The record is from RNAcentral.
CAAUCAAUAUCUUAAAUUUAAAGAAUUAAUUUUUUAAAUUAAAAAUAGUAAUAACUUUGAUUGA